Long non-coding RNA from Ictalurus punctatus (channel catfish), 1759 nucleotides. Lineage: Eukaryota; Metazoa; Chordata; Actinopteri; Siluriformes; Ictaluridae. The record is from Ensembl.
UGUCAGUCUCAGAGUUUCUAUUUUUAUAGAAGUGGUGGGAAAAAAACAGAAUAAUGUCACUUGAGUGAAAGUCUAACAAUAAUUAAGAAAUUUUUUUCCUGACAUUAAUAUUAAUCCCUAUUAUUAAUUACCUUAAUUCCUUUACGAGUGAUUUUUAUAUUUCCCCGCAAUUCCUCUAAUAUCUCAGACGCAAUGAAAUAGAAAUUUAAAUCUGAGUUUAAAGUUUAAUAUGAACUCGCGAAGCUCGUGUAUUCUGUCUUGAAAUGACUCGAAGUAGAAUUAUGAAUGACAGGAAAGUGUUUCUUUAUUUGCGUAUUACAAAACAUAUACAAAAAACAACAACACAGUAGUACAUUUGUUCACUUUAAAGAAAAAACCCCAGACGUAUAGAGCGGGUGUAUAAAUAUAAGAAGUGACGACACGUCAUGAGAAACGGAACAGCGGUGUUUCCACGCGCUCCGUUAGCUGAUUCAGCCAGUCCACGUGUUCAGCGAUGGACUGACGCAGAUCUCCACCGUUCUAAACCAAACACGACAAUAUAAAAACAAAUUUCUUUAAUUCACACGAAUGAGCAACAAGUUUUCAAACAGUUCCACUGUAGCUAAGGUAGCUAACGUGUUUUAUAUAUGGAGUUUGUCCUAUGUGGGCGUGGCCAGAUGAGAUUAGCAAAGCAAGAGGCACCAACGAGCUCUGCUACUUCGUUCCAAGCUUUAUUUUUCUUCGUAGCAUUUCUAAAUACAUUUAAUAAGAUGCCGUGUACGACAGGAGAAGACGACACGACACUUAUUUAAACAUCUGUAUUCCGUUUUUCCAGUUAAAACAGUAAACAUGAACUAAAGUGAAGCGAAGAAACACCGGACCAUAUGCACCGUGUAGGAUUGGUCCGAAGAAUCGUUCGGGACAAUCGCUUGGAUUUGUGGCUUAACUGUGUCGAAACAAACAAACGCUUACCCGUCACUUUCUUGUGUGAACGUGGGGUCACAACAAAAUGGCAGUGAGUCGCUCAGGAGCCGAAAGAGUCGACUCUUAUUGAUGAGCUGAGUCAAAUGAUCUGACUCGAGUCAAAUGAUCUGACUCACUGGAUUCUUUUUAAAGCCUCUCACCCCAGACAGGUUUUCUUUCAGCUCUGCUGCAGCCAGGCGGACGUGUUCCAGUUUGUCGAUCUGCUCCUUCAGGCGAUCCUCCAGCUCCUGCAUCAUCAUCAGACCUUCAUCCAUUCUCCUCACAUGUUUGCCCACCAUCCUGAGACUCCUGAGACGCCUAACUAACACACACACACACACACACACACACACACACACAUACAUACAUACACACAUAGGUGAUGUGUCGUUCACUAAGGAGAGGAGUCGACUCUUUCAACCGACUCGCAUUUAAGCCGUUCUGUUUUUCUUACCAGUCCAUUAACAAAUCCUUUAACUUUUUAAUAAUAUUCCUAUUUGAAGUGCAAAUGGAGUUGUUGUUUUUUUUUUGUUUUGUUUUUUUAAAAAAGAGUAAAUAUUGGUGCUAUAAUAUGAACUAAAACACAAGCAAUCACUAAACAUCUCGAUUCCUGAUUCACACAGGUAAAUGAACAACAAUGAAAGAAUCAUUCGUUUCACUCUACUGGCGUCUCUUUUUCAUAAUAAUCCGCCAAAUCUAGUGUUAUAUUUUCUAUCUUUGCAACAUUUAGAUGUAAAAUGUCAAUAUAACGCGUUAAAUAACUCACUGAACAGUAGUGAAGACACCGCAGAAAGUUAUUCUCUCAGGUUUGUUGAAC